UUCCUUCUCCAACUCGGCAAUGUUGUCUGCAGGCCAGUUUAGAUGUCCUCGCAAGGUUCAACUUCAUAGCUCGUAGAACUCUUCUUCUUCUUCUUCCUCUGUCAUGGACGAGGUGGACGUGAGGUGCCUCGAAUGCAGGAAAUGGAAGCAGCACUACUACUGGAAUCAUUUUGAAGCCACAAAGAGGCGUUUCUUCAAGGUUCUGAUUGCUGAUUUCUCAAGAAAACUCGUAAGUAGCUCGUAAAGCUUGUUCAUUCGGCCUUACCAGCAACAGUGUUGGCAUCUGAUGAUAUGCGCAUUGCACGCCAUGUUUGCAGAGCAUCCCCAGGAAGUUUGUGCUGCACUUCAAGGACUUACCGG
RNAcentral lists this long non-coding RNA (360 nucleotides) under Musa acuminata (dwarf banana). RNAcentral's name for it is "long non-coding RNA (MACU_LNC001831)". Lineage: Eukaryota; Viridiplantae; Streptophyta; Magnoliopsida; Zingiberales; Musaceae. The record is from RNAcentral.